Molecule: long non-coding RNA, 450 nt
Organism: Hemibagrus wyckioides
Lineage: Eukaryota; Metazoa; Chordata; Actinopteri; Siluriformes; Bagridae
Exons: 3
Source: RefSeq, a predicted model, not a curated record
AAUCUUUUCUCAAGAGUCACACAGCUGGAUGGAAAACAUGAAAACGGAUUAACUCUUCAGUUCUCGUUUAUACACAACAGCAGAACACACAAAAAUGCUAAGAAGGGUCAUCUGCUCCACAUCAGCUGUGUAACGUUCCACUUCCUCUCACUACCUCUGACUCCGCCCCUUCCGGCUCGUGCCACUGCAGAGUGAAGCUCCAUCUCAUGCAGGCUCUGACCAUCACAAGAAUAUUGAAGCUACAGUUCUGCAUUUGACCCCGAAGAUUACAGUUUGAAUGGGACUUUUUUUGCAAGGGAAAGGGUGAGGAUUCUUUCGUUUUACAGCACACAUAAGGAAAUAUGGGGGGUUUUUUACAUUCAACAUUUAUGCUUUUGUGUUGUUCCAUGAAAGUUCUACAUAUAAUUAAAUCCAAGUAAAAAAAAAAAUGUAUGCAUUAGUUUGCUUGCA